RNAcentral lists this ribosomal RNA (1493 nucleotides) under metagenome. Its description in RNAcentral is "bacterial SSU rRNA". It matches the Rfam family "Bacterial small subunit ribosomal RNA". The record is from RNAcentral.
GUUUGAUCAUGGCUCAGAUUGAACGCUGGCGGAAUGCUUUACACAUGCAAGUCGAACGGCAGCACGGACUUCGGUCUGGUGGCGAGUGGCGAACGGGUGAGUAAUAUAUCGGAACGUAUCCAAUAAUGGGGGAUAACUAAUCGAAAGGUUGGCUAAUACCGCAUACGCCCUACGGGGGAAAGCUAGGGACCUUCGGGCCUGGCGUUAAUGGAGCGGCCGAUAUCUGAUUAGCUAGUUGGUGAGGUAAGAGCUCACCAAGGCGACGAUCAGUAGCUGGUCUGAGAGGACGACCAGCCACACUGGAACUGAGACACGGUCCAGACUCCUACGGGAGGCAGCAGUGGGGAAUUUUGGACAAUGGGCGCAAGCCUGAUCCAGCCAUUCCGCGUGAGUGAAGAAGGCCUUCGGGUUGUAAAGCUCUUUUCGCAAGGGAAGAAAACUUAGUUACUAAUAUUAACUGAGGUUGACGGUACCUUGAUAAGAAGCACCGGCUAACUACGUGCCAGCAGCCGCGGUAAUACGUAGGGUGCGAGCGUUAAUCGGAAUUACUGGGCGUAAAGCGUGCGCAGGCUGUUUUGUAAGUCAGAUGUGAAAUCCCCGAGCUCAACUUGGGAACUGCGUUUGAAACUACAAGACUAGAAUAUGUCAGAGGGGGGUAGAAUUCCACGUGUAGCAGUGAAAUGCGUAGAGAUGUGGAGGAAUAUCAAUGGCGAAGGCAGCCCCCUGGGAUAAUAUUGACGCUCAUGCACGAAAGCGUGGGGAGCAAACAGGAUUAGAUACCCUGGUAGUCCACGCCCUAAACGAUGUCUACUAGUUGUUGGUGGAGUAAAAUCCAUGAGUAACGCAGCUAACGCGUGAAGUAGACCGCCUGGGGAGUACGGUCGCAUAUUAAAACUCAAACGAAUUGACGGGGGCCCGCACAAGCGGUGGAUUAUGUGGAUUAAUUCGAUGCAACGCGAAAAACCUUACCUGGCCUUGACAUGUACCGAAUUUACCAGAGAUGGUUUAGUGCUCGAAAGAGAACGGUAACACAGGUGCUGCAUGGCUGUCGUCAGCUCGUGUCGUGAGAUGUUGGGUUAAGUCCCGCAACGAGCGCAACCCUUGCCAAUAAUUGCCAUCAUUUAGUUGGGCACUUUAUUGGGACUGCCGAUGACAAAUCGGAGGAAGGUGGGGAUGACGUCAAGUCCUCAUGGCCCUUAUGGCCAGGGCUUCACACGUAAUACAAUGGUCGGUACAGAGGGUUGCCAAGCCGCAAGGUGGAGCCAAUCCCAGAAAGCCGAUCGUAGUCCGGAUUGAGGUCUGCAACUCGACCUCAUGAAGUCGGAAUCGCUAGUAAUCGCGGAUCAGCAUGUCGCGGUGAAUACGUUCCCGGGCCUUGUACACACCGCCCGUCACACCAUGGGAGUGGGUUUUACCAGAAGUAGGUAGUCUAACCGCAAGGAGGACGCUUACCACGGUAGUAUUCAUGACUGGGGUGAAGUCGGAACAAGGUA